CUGAAACAUCUAAGUACCCCGAGGAAAAGAAAUCAACCGAGAUUCCCCCAGUAGCGGCGAGCGAACGGGGAGGAGCCCAGAGCCUGAAUCAGUGUGUGUGUUAGUGGAAGCGUCUGGAAAGGCGCGCGAUACAGGGUGACAGCCCCGUACACAAAAAUGCACAUGCUGUGAGCUCGAUGAGUAGGGCGGGACACGUGGUAUCCUGUCUGAAUAUGGGGGGACCAUCCUCCAAGGCUAAAUACUCCUGACUGACCGAUAGUGAACCAGUACCGUGAGGGAAAGGCGAAAAGAACCCCGGCGAGGGGAGUGAAAAAGAACCUGAAACCGUGUACGUACAAGCAGUGGGAGCACAGAGCAAUCUGUGUGACUGCGUACCUUUUGUAUAAUGGGUCAGCGACUUAUAUUCUGUAGCAAGGUUAACCGAAUAGGGGAGCCGAAGGGAAACCGAGUCUUAACUGGGCGUUAAGUUGCAGGGUAUAGACCCGAAACCCGGUGAUCUAGCCAUGGGCAGGUUGAAGGUUGGGUAACACUAACUGGAGGACCGAACCGACUAAUGUUGAAAAAUUAGCGGAUGACUUGUGGCUGGGGGUGAAAGGCCAAUCAAACCGGGAGAUAGCUGGUUCUCCCCGAAAGCUAUUUAGGUAGCGCCUCGUGAAUUCAUCUCCGGGGGUAGAGCACUGUUUCGGCAAGGGGGUCAUCCCGACUUACCAACCCGAUGCAAACUGCGAAUACCGGAGAAUGUUAUCACGGGAGACACACGGCGGGUGCUAACGUCCGUCGUGAAGAGGGAAACAACCCAGACCGCCAGCUAAGGUCCCAAAGUCAUGGUUAAGUGGGAAACGAUGUGGGAAGGCCCAGACAGCCAGGAUGUUGGCUUAGAAGCAGCCAUCAUUUAAAGAAAGCGUAAUAGCUCACUGGUCGAGUCGGCCUGCGCGGAAGAUGUAACGGGGCUAAACCAUGCACCGAAGCUGCGGCAGCGACACUAUGUGUUGUUGGGUAGGGGAGCGUUCUGUAAGCCUGUGAAGGUGUGCUGUGAGGCAUGCUGGAGGUAUCAGAAGUGCGAAUGCUGACAUAAGUAACGAUAAAGCGGGUGAAAAGCCCGCUCGCCGGAAGACCAAGGGUUCCUGUCCAACGUUAAUCGGGGCAGGGUGAGUCGACCCCUAAGGCGAGGCCGAAAGGCGUAGUCGAUGGGAAACAGGUUAAUAUUCCUGUACUUGGUGUUACUGCGAAGGGGGGACGGAGAAGGCUAUGUUGGCCGGGCGACGGUUGUCCCGGUUUAAGCGUGUAGGCUGGUUUUCCAGGCAAAUCCGGAAAAUCAAGGCUGAGGCGUGAUGACGAGGCACUACGGUGCUGAAGCAACAAAUGCCCUGCUUCCAGGAAAAGCCUCUAAGCAUCAGGUAACAUCAAAUCGUACCCCAAACCGACACAGGUGGUCAGGUAGAGAAUACCAAGGCGCUUGAGAGAACUCGGGUGAAGGAACUAGGCAAAAUGGUGCCGUAACUUCGGGAGAAGGCACGCUGAUAUGUAGGUGAAGCGACUUGCUCGUGGAGCUGAAAUCAGUCGAAGAUACCAGCUGGCUGCAACUGUUUAUUAAAAACACAGCACUGUGCAAACACGAAAGUGGACGUAUACGGUGUGACGCCUGCCCGGUGCCGGAAGGUUAAUUGAUGGGGUCAGCGCAAGCGAAGCUCUUGAUCGAAGCCCCGGUAAACGGCGGCCGUAACUAUAACGGUCCUAAGGUAGCGAAAUUCCUUGUCGGGUAAGUUCCGACCUGCACGAAUGGCGUAAUGAUGGCCAGGCUGUCUCCACCCGAGACUCAGUGAAAUUGAACUCGCUGUGAAGAUGCAGUGUACCCGCGGCAAGACGGAAAGACCCCGUGAACCUUUACUAUAGCUUGACACUGAACAUUGAGCCUUGAUGUGUAGGAUAGGUGGGAGGCUUUGAAGUGUGGACGCCAGUCUGCAUGGAGCCGACCUUGAAAUACCACCCUUUAAUGUUUGAUGUUCUAACGUUGACCCGUAAUCCGGGUUGCGGACAGUGUCUGGUGGGUAGUUUGACUGGGGCGGUCUCCUCCUAAAGAGUAACGGAGGAGCACGAAGGUUGGCUAAUCCUGGUCGGACAUCAGGAGGUUAGUGCAAUGGCAUAAGCCAGCUUGACUGCGAGCGUGACGGCGCGAGCAGGUGCGAAAGCAGGUCAUAGUGAUCCGGUGGUUCUGAAUGGAAGGGCCAUCGCUCAACGGAUAAAAGGUACUCCGGGGAUAACAGGCUGAUACCGCCCAAGAGUUCAUAUCGACGGCGGUGUUUGGCACCUCGAUGUCGGCUCAUCACAUCCUGGGGCUGAAGUAGGUCCCAAGGGUAUGGCUGUUCGCCAUUUAAAGUGGUACGCGAGCUGGGUUUAGAACGUCGUGAGACAGUUCGGUCCCUAUCUGCCGUGGGCGCUGGAGAACUGAGGGGGGCUGCUCCUAGUACGAGAGGACCGGAGUGGACGCAUCACUGGUGUUCGGGUUGUCAUGCCAAUGGCACUGCCCGGUAGCUAAAUGCGGAAGAGAUAAGUGCUGAAAGCAUCUAAGCACGAAACUUGCCCCGAGAUGAGUUCUCCCUGACUCCUUGAGAGUCCUGAAGGAACGUUGAAGACGACGACGUUGAUAGGCCGGGUGUGUAAGCGCAGCGAUGCGUUGAGCUAACCGGUACUAAUGAACCGUGAGG
Molecule: ribosomal RNA, 2705 nt
Filed under: Escherichia coli
Lineage: Bacteria; Pseudomonadati; Pseudomonadota; Gammaproteobacteria; Enterobacterales; Enterobacteriaceae
Description: partial 23S ribosomal RNA
Rfam family: Bacterial large subunit ribosomal RNA
Source: RNAcentral